Neolamprologus brichardi is the source of this 333-nucleotide non-coding RNA. The record is from RefSeq and is a predicted model, not a curated record. Lineage: Eukaryota; Metazoa; Chordata; Actinopteri; Cichliformes; Cichlidae.
CAUCUGAUGUGCAAGUAUAUAAUACUCUUUUGUAUAACAAUGUUGCAUAUUUAAUUGUUAAGUUUCAUUUGCAUGCCAUUACAUCUGCAGUUGUUAUGGUAUUGUGUUGUGUUUGGUGUUUAUGCUGAAGGUUCAGUGUGGUACAGAAUCUCAAAUGGCAUCCACAUCAGGAGAACAUACUACAAGUUACAAUAUGUAUACCAAUAUCUAUGCACCUGUCAUUAUUGACAGCAGUUCUUCAGAUGCUGAGGGAGAGGAGUUGCAAAAGGAAAACUGUGAUGAACCUGAUGGAUUGACGGCUGCAGAUGUCAUCUCAAAUCUGGCUCUGAAGAU